RNAcentral lists this transfer RNA (77 nucleotides) under Allorhizobium sp. Its description in RNAcentral is "tRNA-Arg". It matches the Rfam family "tRNA". Rfam says of the family: Transfer RNA (tRNA) molecules are approximately 80 nucleotides in length. Their secondary structure includes four short double-helical elements and three loops (D, anti-codon, and T loops). RNAcentral also lists the same sequence under 3 other names. The record is from RNAcentral. Lineage: Bacteria; Pseudomonadati; Pseudomonadota; Alphaproteobacteria; Hyphomicrobiales; Rhizobiaceae.
GGUCCCGUAGCUCAGCAGGAUAGAGCAUCAGAUUCCUAAUCUGAGGGUCACGUGUUCGAAUCACGUCGGGAUCACCA